This 461-nucleotide ribosomal RNA is filed under the name uncultured bacterium. RNAcentral's name for it is "partial 16S ribosomal RNA". It matches the Rfam family "Bacterial small subunit ribosomal RNA", at positions 28 to 523 of the family's 1533-position model. The record is from RNAcentral.
GAUGAACGCUGGCGGCGUGCCUAAUACAUGCAAGUCGAGCGGCAGCACGGUCUUCGGACUGGUGGCGAGCGGCGGACGGCUGAGUAACGCGUAGGAACGUACCCCAAAGUGAGGGAUAACUGCUCGAAAGAGUAGCUAAUACCGCAUGUGAUCUAAGGAUUAAAGCUUCGGCGCUUUGGGAACGGCCUGCGUCCGAUUAGCUAGUUGGUGAGGUAAAAGCUCACCAAGGCGACGAUCGGUAGCUGGUCUGAGAGGAUGAUCAGCCAGACUGGGACUGAGACACGGCCCAGACUCCUACGGGAGGCAGCAGUGGGGAAUAUUGGACAAUGGGGGAAACCCUGAUCCAGCCAUGCCGCGUGAGUGAUGAAGGCCUUAGGGUUGUAAAGCUCUUUCGCCAGGGAAGAUAAUGACGGUACCUGGAAAAGAAGCCUCGGCUAACUCCGUGCCAGCCGCCGCGGUAA